Long non-coding RNA from Vespula vulgaris, 9419 nucleotides. RefSeq lists it as uncharacterized. NCBI's taxonomy places the organism in Eukaryota, Metazoa, Arthropoda, Insecta, Hymenoptera, Vespidae. The record is from RefSeq and is a predicted model, not a curated record. The transcript has 6 exons.
GAGAGGUUUUUUAAAGGGGGAAAAAAAAAAGAAAGGAAAAGAGAAGACGAGCAUCGUAUUUCAAAGAUCCAAGCGGUUUCGCGCGUUCCUCAUUUUUAUGAUCGAGAGUGUCGGUAUCGAGGGAAACAAUGAGACGAGGGAUCAUACGAAUGUUUCUACGAAAACUUGGCGAGGUGCAACUUUCUUCUUUCGCUAUCCGCUUCGAUAAACCCGGACGGGGAACGAUGGAACACAAAAUUCGCUAAGACGAAAGGCGUCCGUCGUUGUUACUGACCGUUCGCAAAAGGAUAAAAGAAGAAACAAAAAACAGGAGAAGAAAAAAGGAGCUGAAAAACAAUGGUCCAUCGCGUAUGGAAGAAUAAGAGAGAAGAGGAAAGAUCCGAACGAUGACGUAGGAGGAGAGAGAAAGGGAUAUUUAAUGUAGCAGCAUGCUUGGAGCUCGCGUUGGCGAGGGUGAGAGAGGGAGAGAGAGACAGGAAGAGAGAGAAGGGGAGAAGAAAAAGAGAAAGAUAUAGUGGUACAAGGAGAGGAGUGGGAGCAGAGCCAAGCUGUCUGCUGACUCUCGCGAUCUCCGAGUGCCGAGGAGGCGAGCGCUCCUACGACGACAUUAAGUAAUAUCUCGAAGUCCUUUCUUCGAACGGCUUCAACACAGCCACACGACGUGCCGCCGACUCGUUUUUCAAGGACAAUGGAUUUAUCCGCGAACGCAUUCGCGCGGAAAAGGCGUCACGCUCGCAUUCCACACGUUGCAGCAUUAUGCCAACAACGUCAAAAGAGAGGCUGCUGUUGUCGCUGUUCUCCGGUCUACCUACCGACGUUUUAACGAACGACCUGCGAAAAAGCGUCCUCGAGAUAAUAACGUCACUUGAGAUCUUCUAGCGCGACCUCUCUCUCUCUCUGCACCCUAUCCUCCCCUAUCGUUUUCUAUCUCACAAGUCUAGCCGAGUCAAGGUACUCAGGGAUAAUAAUGAGAUCUAGGAAACUUCGCGCACACGAUCGUUCGAUUAUCAUUUCUACAUAAAAGAGGAGGAUACGCGCUUGUGGCGCAAAGUCAUCGACGCGGAGGGAGGAGGAUCGACAGGAGCAGGAGCAGGAGCAGAAGGAGCAGGAGUAGCAGCAGCAGCAGCAACAGCAGCAGCAGCAGCAGAAGCAGCAGCAGCAGCAGCAGCAACAGCGAGCACGUCAUCGUCCAAAGUAAUCUGGUCCGUGAGAAGAGAUACUAAACGGACAACGACGAAGAUGACGACGAAGACGACGAUGAUGAUAAGACGAAGGAAGUGGGUCGAAGUGGGAUCUUGGACGAAGAUAAAAAUGAGAAAGAUAUUCGGAAAAACGAGAUAGAUAGAUAAAUAGAUAGACAGAUAGAAACAGAGAAAGACAGAGGAGAUAGAGAGAGAGAGAGAGAGAGACAGAAAGGAUUCUUCCUACCGUCCGCCAUCCUCCCGUUAUAUUAUCCUCUUCCUCUCGUACUCGCAAACGCGUUAAAAAUCGUUCGCUCACCUAACUCUCUUCAAUCGUAAGUCCGUAGUACGAGCAGCCACGACAUCUCAACGAGUCCCGUACACCGCAAACUCGUAAGCUCACUCUCUCGCACUCGUAGGCACACUCAGUACCACCACUGUAAACUUCUCUCUCUCUCUCUCCCUCUCUCUCUCUCUCUCCCUCUCUCUCUCCCUCUCUCUCUCCCUCUCUCUCUCUCUCUCUUUCUCUCUCUCCACGCGAAUCUCCCACGGGCCGAAUGUAAAAAGCGCGAAAAGGCACUUUCGAACGAGCGAGAAGGAACUCGGUGGUGGUAUUCCUCUUCUUCUUAUUACUCUUCGUUUCUUUUCUUUUCUUCUCUUGUGUCUUCUUUUUUUAUUCGAAAAUCUUCGAGAGUCUCAAUUAUUUAUAUUCCACUCCCUUUUCCACGGAGCAGCAGCAUGCUACUACACAACUAUGGGUUUCCAGCCGUCGUCUCUCCACAGGUAUCUCUCUCUCUCGCUCUCCCUCCCUCACUCCCGCCCUCCCACCCUUCCUUCCUCCUCUUUCUCCCGUUCUCCUCCUUCUCGGCCUCCUCCUGCCCCCACACCCACCGAUACACACUGGCACGCACGUCGGUUAUACUCCUCUGCGAGUCGAGCGAGCGAGCGCUCGAAUCGUAUAUCGCGAGUCAAGAGUCGUAACGACGAACCUGUCGUAUCCGCGAUUCCUACGUGUCUCUCUUUCUCUUUCUCUUUUUCUAUCUCUAUAUCUGUCUCUAUCUAUCUAUCUAACGCGUUUUCACCUGCGUCCGUAUAAAUAUAGAUGCGUAAGUCGAUCCGACAGCCCGAGUUUCACCGCGACGUGUGACGACAUUCGUAAAUAAGAGGGAGAAAAAGAAAGAGAGAGAGAGAGAGAGAAGGAGAAAUAUAUAUAUAUAUUAUAUAUAUAUAUAUAUAUAUAUAUAUAUAUAUAUAUAAAGAGAUCGACAUAAACGUAUCUCUCGAAAACAAUCGUAACUUUAAAAUCGCGAUCUUAGAAAUUUGUCGAGAACGAAAAACGAUGACGAUACUUCGUCACGAAGCAAUGUGUCGAGAGCUGCGGCCCCUCCGAUCCAACCUACUCAGGCCCGUUCGCCAACAGCUUCGUCCUCCUCUUCCCCUUUUCCUUCUCUUCGCUACUCUACUCUGCUCUUUCUCUCCCUCCUUCCUUCCUUGACCACCUCGGUUGCCGCCGGCCGGCCCACCGAGCGGAUCCGAUCCCCUCCGUUGAAAAACCCUCCCCGGUCCUCUCGGCGGCCCCUCGCCGUCUCCGACAAGACCAAUCGUCUCAUCUUCUUUCUUCGACCACCGACUCUUCUCCUCUCUGUCUCUUUCUCUUUUUCUCUUUCUUUCUAACACUCCUUCAAAAUCUUCUCUAUGGUAUCGGCCAAACGUUUUACGGAUGAAUCAUCUCCUCUUUAACUUAAUAUGUAACAUGGUGAAUAUGAGAUCGAGUUACAUUCUUCAAAAUAUCUGAGCUACUAAAUACGUGAAAACAUUUAUCUUGUAUUCGAUCAAUUACGUUUGUUUCUAAUCGUUUGUGUUUUGACAAUAAUUCACAAUUUUUUAUUUGUAAUUUGUAAUAACUUUUUAUUUGUAUUUUCUUUUCGUAACGUCGACGUAAAAGUACUUUCUUCCUCUUUGUUUUCUUUCCAGAUAUAGUUUUUAAAUUAAGAAGUGAUCUCUAUCCAUUCAUAGAUGGCGCGUUCAGCAUUUUCUAUGUGUACACGGAGAAAGUUAUAGAGUCUUCCAUCUAGGUUGCUUUCCUUUGUAUGGCGCUGUUCUAUGAAUCAGUUCAGUAUGACUAAUGCCAAUCUCUAAACAACGGUACUAUUGCUUUUAUGACGCCUACUUAUAUCGAGCUUAUAUUCGACGAAUUAUCGUCCAAGUGUGGAUGUGACGAAGGAGUAAGCAUUGUGUGCUUGUGAAGAUUCAUAAUUUCAUAAAUUUUCGUUCGACAUGAAGCGUUGUAACCUAGCCGAGAUAUUUGCAGAAGGGAAUUCUAUUAAUAAGAUAAUUCAUAAUAAUAAAAACAAUGUUAGCGAUUCGUCAAAUAAAGGAAGUAAUGAAGAAAAUUACAAUCGGAGGAAAUAUAUACUGCCAGUUGUAAUCGAUUGACUAUUCCUAAAACUCGUGAAUGGAAGCGUAUUUGCAGAGUUCUUAUGCAGAAAAACCUUUUGCACAGGAAAAUUCUUUAUUCUAAAGAAUACUAGAAACUGUAAAAUAUCAAUUUUUGAAAUAGUUAACCUAUAGGUUUUAUUCGUCAUAUUUCCUGUGGAAUUUCUUAGAAUAUAAGUUGAUUCAUUUAUUAAUUAUUAAAAAGUUUCAUUAUUUAUCAUUGAAUACAUUUAAUUUGUUAUAAUGCCAAAGAUUUUAACAUAUUAUAACUGUUUUAAUUACUUAACUUUUACAACAAAUAAGAACAGAAUUAGCGAAGUUGUUAGAUUGUUCGUAGUAAUAAGAGAAUGAGAUUUAUAAGAUUGAAAUGUCUAAUGAAAGAUAGUGUAACAGAUUUCUCUCUAUUCAAGUGAAUUAAAGUUUUAAUUGUAAUUAUAGUUCUUUGUUUUUUCUACUAUUUCAUAUCUAAUAGGAACAAUAUUUUUAAAGGUUAAUAUUGCCUAUUUUAUUUACAAUCUUUAUACUUUGUUACAUGAUUUUACAAUGAUCUUUUAAUCUUGCACAAAUAUAAUAUAUAUUAUAUAUAUAAUAUAUAUUAUAUAUAUAAUAUAUAUAUAUUAUAUAUAUAUCAUCAAGUGAUAAUAAUAAUAAUAACAAUAAUAUAUACCCAUAUUAUAAUACAUAUUUUAUAUAUGAGAAACAAAGUACAAUAUAUUAAAUAUGAAACUAUCUACAAAUGCAUACUACUUAUUUUUAUACGUAUGUAUACUGGAUAUAAUAUAGGAGAUUGUAACAUGGAACAUUUGAUAAAAUGUUUAAAAGCACUUAAUAAAUCAAUAUUUAUCAUAAUGUAAAUGCAAUCAGAGAUCACAAUGAAUGAUCUCAAUGAAAAUUGCAAAAUCUGUGUGCCUUAAUCUAAGACGAUUUAAUUCCUUUAAAUGAAAUAAUUAAUCUAAUAUAUUUCAAACUCUUUUGCAUCAUGUGCACUCUUAUUAUUCACUGCAUUAAUGACAACGUACUGAGUCUUGACAUUAUUAUAAUCAGUUUUGAUAAUGAUUUAUUAAAUACAUCCUUACAAUAAAAGUGUAUUUCAUAAAUAAGCGUUAACAAAUUUCAUUGAUGGAUCCAAAAAGAAUAAGAGAAAAAAUAUCAAAAUAGGUAACAAUAGAUUAUCAAAUUAAUAGGUUAGAUAGAUAAAACCAACAAUGAAGAUUGUACAUAAGUUAAAAUUAACAAAGAUAUGAUAAAAAAGUAUACGUUUUCGCGAGAUCGUUAAAAAUAUUUGAUUAGGUUAUAUUAAAUAGUUUAAAAAAAAAUGAGUAAAUUUUUAAGUAUUUAAUUCAUAAACACUUUCCUAAUAAUAAUGAUAAUAUUAUGAUGAUAAUAAUAAUGAUAUUAUUAUUAAUAAUAAUUACCAUUAUUAGAAAAGUGAUAUAUAUAUGUAUGUUUUUAUGUACUUAUUUUACAUGCUGCAUCUUGUUCAAAGAGUUUUUUUAUUUUUUUCUUUUUUUAUUUUUUAAACAUUCACGUUUUUUCGAAUUUAUAUUAGAAUUCGUUUGGAAUAGUAUAUACGUGUAGGUAAAUCGAAAAAUUGUCAACUUCGUAGAUCUAAUUUUGUCAACCGCACAUUUCUACUAAUUAUAUUAUACAUUUGAAAAUAAUUCUUCUUCAGCCUGUACCCGACAGAUCUAAACAAUCUCUAAACUAAGCUUAUUAGAAAGUAGACAAUUUUUGGUAUUAUUUCAACGUAUUAUUAUUAUCAUCGUCAUCAUUAAUUUAUAAUAAUAAUAAUUAUUGUUGUUAUUAUUAUUAUUAUUAUCAUUAUUGUUGUAAUAGUAAUAAGUAGUAAUUCGCUUGAUACUCUAAUCGUCUUCUUAAUAUAAGUCAUACGAUAUUAUUAUAUGAUAUAUGUCUAUAACAUCGAGGAUUAUUGAAAGUUGAAGGAUUUUUUCUUAUCUAAUCAUUCUUUUAUCCGUGACACGAAAUUUGUUAGUUUGUUUGAUAGGAGAAGUAAGGUAAUAAAUUUUUCAAAUCGACGAUCAUUAUUAUUAUCAUGUUUGUUAACUGUUGGUUUAAUUUUCGAUUAUGGCACCAUAGGCAUUUUGUCGUUAUAUUUCUUUUUUAUUUUUAUUAUUUUUUUUUUUAUUUUUUUAUUUUUUUUUACACAUCAUUUUAUAAUCACAUACAUACAUCAAAUGGAAUAUGAUUCUCUAAGAAUUCUUAUUGAUUAUCAUUCUUUUUGUUUUUUUGUUUAUAUAUCGGGUAACCUUAAUGAAUGAAUAUAUGAAUCAAAUGAAUUGACUUAAUAUCGAGUUUAUGAGUUUUUGAAGUAUGUAUGUUUGUAUUUAUGUAUAUAAGCUAAACACGUGCGUAAAUGUUUUGUGACAUUGUUGUUUUUGUUAUAUCGUUAGCACGAAUUUUUUCAUCGUUUUAAUCUAAUCAUUCUUUCAAACAAUCUCUCCUCGUAGCUUUAAGAGCCUUAUUAGGAUAUUUCGUUCUUUUUUAUUUUAUUUUAUUUUUUAUUAUUUCGUAUAUAUGUAUAUCGUACAUAAAUAACUCGAAGGAUUUAUAAGGUUAAACUCUUAAAAAUAAAUGGAAUGCACCGUUCAACAGUACAUAAAACAUAGUAGAUUACAACGAUCCCGAGAUUUUUUAUGUUUUAGUUUUUGUAUCAUAUCGUUGCGACAUCGUAUAUAGUGAACUUUGCAAAUUCGUUAAUUUUUUAAUUAUAUUUAUUUCCUUUUUUUUGUAAUUAUUUUCACUUGUUCGUUUGCUUUCCUUUUUCUUUUUUAAUUUAUUUCUUCCUCUCCUUAAUCCUAAUCACUUUGAUUUAUCUUCUAAGCAUUCUCAUGAAUAACGUAAAAGAACUUUUAACAUUUCUCUGACAUGUUGAUUGGUAGAGUUUUUUUUUAUCGUUAGACAAAAGAGAACGAAUAGAGUAUGUUGAGAACAAUUACAUUAUUUCAAUCUUGAAAAUAUUUCUUUUCUUUUCUUUUUUCGUUUGUAAGUCCACCAAAAAUGCAAAUUUAAUUAGACAAUGUUGUAAUUUAUAAUAAAUUUACUAUCUUGAAAUGAUAACAUAAAAGAACGACGUUUAAUACGAUUUCUUUCUUUGCUUCAAGAUUAGAGAAAUGAGUUAUAUUAUAUUCGCUAACAAUAAUAAUUAAUAAAUGAAUUAAUUAAGUAAUACACAUAAAGGAAGUGCGAUGUAAGGGAAGAACGACUUAAGUGCUUAAUAUUAUUAUUAUUUUUUGUUUUCUUUUUUUUGUUUCUCUCUUUUCUUUUUUCAAUUCUCGAAAAAAGCACGAGCGUUUAGAAUCUAGAGAAAGAAAAGCGAAAAGAGUUGUGUGUUGUGUAUUGUAAUAGUAAUUAGAAGAAGAAGAAGCACAUAAUAAUUCCAUCACGGACGAUUUGAUUAAGUACGCAAGUGUCUGUGACUUUAAUCGUUAGGAAAGAGAUUAUUUAUCAUCAUCAUCAUCAUCAUCAUCAUCAUCAUGAUCUAUCGAAAUGUAGCUAUUAGUCAGUAGUUUUCUUUCUCUUAGUCAAUGGAUGACUACCAUUUAGUUGGUCCUGUACCACUGCUUACUCCAGUUGUUGAUGCUAUGAAAGGAUUCGUCGAAGCAGCUAGGAGGAAAAAUUUAGUUAGAUACAAGAUUUAGUCUAUCUUCAUUAAGAGAAUGAAUCGAAUAUUGUAAUAUAUAUAUACUAUUAUUAUAUGUAUAUAUAUAAAAGAGGUAUAAGCAACUUAAAAAGGGAAAGCUCGUGUGGAUGAGAUAAAGGUUGUAAUCAAUAUAUGCAAAUUACGACUAAGUCUGUUUAAAGCUGUGCCUUUAUAAGAUUUCUCCUUAUGUACAAAAUAAAAGUGGUUUGUAACUACUACUAGGAAUGAUUAAUUAAAUCAAUUUUCUUUUUAAUGGCAUAAAAAAUGUCAUGUAACUUGUAUUUUAUCUUAAAAAAAAUUAAAAGUGACCAAGAAGUAAAUUAUUAAAAGAAUGAUUAAAAGUUGUUGCAUUUGAUAUAAUUUUAUGGUAAUUCUCAUAACAUUAAUUAUUUUAACGUUAUUAGAAAGAAUAUAUAUAAUUACAUGCAAAAAAGAACAGUUUUCUAUCGAUAAUUUCUUUGGCAGCGAUAGUUCUUGUAAUAAUGCUAGUACUAGUACAAUCUAAAUACAGAAAGUAUUCCGAUAUACAUUUUGUUAUAUAUUAUUUAUAAAAGUCAAUUGUGUAUUUAAAUACGUUAAAGAUAUAGAGAAUAUUCAAAUGCAUAAAUUAUCGCUGACCAAAGGUAGAAGAACAAGACAAAGAAAAUAAGUACAAAUAAAAUGCGAAGAAUUGCAAAAAUGAUAAAAAAAUUAAAUGUUUUUUUGGUUCGUUUUAAUUCGCCCUUGUUCUCUGACGGAUUAAAAAAUAAUAAUAAUCAAAAUUUAUUAUACAUAUUUACAUAUAAUUAAGGAGAACUUAUAUAUGAUGAUUACGCAUUAAGAAAUCAUUUCUAUUUAUAAAUACAUAAAUCAAAAAAGCCGCGGAGAGAGGAAAGAAAAAAUUUAAAUAGCCAAGUAUGUACGUACGUCUACAGUAAGAGAAUAUAAACGCAAACGAAAUCGUGUAUAUGAAUAUAGAGAUAAAUAAAUUCAGGCAAACGUAUACGUAAACACAAUCACCAAACAAUUAAAAAAUGGAAGCAGCAGUUAACGAGAAAAUUAAUUAACAUAUAUAUCAUUAAAUUAACACAAGAGGUCUUCAGUGAUAAUUAAUCGACCAUAUUUUCCGUACGAUUACAUACAUCAUUCGAUAAUUUUUCAUUAUUAUUGUUAUUACUAAUUUAAGGUUAUAUCAAGUAGUUGAAAUAUUUGAUUCUAUGAUCUGUAAAUAAUCAAUUCACGAUUUUCCGAAAUCUAUUCACUUGUAAUUUCAUGAUAAACGUACUGCUUUGUUUACUCUUUUCUCUUUAUAGGACUCCUUGUGUCGGAUAGAAAAAAAAAAAAAAAUAAUAAUAAUAAAAAUACAAGCGCAUGUGUUUGGCAUCGACGACAAGACUCGAGCUUCUAUUCCGAUCUGGAAUUUAUUUUGUGCAAUACUCGGAAGAGUACACUCAACUUUUCAAAUUUGUGCUAUUCACGUCACACAUUAUGACUUUAAAAAGUUUAGAUGGAAGAUAGAAGAGUCUUGUUCCUUAUUUGUCGCUCAUUUAUCCUCCUUUUCUAUUAUCGAAUGAUACAAGAAAAAGAGGCAUAUCAAAAGUGCCAACAUUAACUUCGUGCUAAGUAAAGGCUACUUUUUGCGUCUAAACUUAAGAAGUUGAAAUACCGGUAGUAUAAAUCACACGAUCUCCGCCACUGUUCAAGUUCGUACUCUCGUUCGCUGGUGCUGAAGAUGGAGGUGGUGGCAUGGCAAAAACUUGUUGGGGAUUAGAAGUUGCACCCUGCGAUGCGCCACCCUGAGGUUGAACGGUCACUGGUUCUUCGUCACUUUCUUCCUCCUGUCGAAAAGAAAUAUUUCAGUUUUCUUUGAAAAGAGAAGAACUUACCUUUGAGAACUUUAAGGGUUGACUUGUCACAACAUCGACUUCCGGAUUCUGGUCCCGCUAUAAUACAACAACAACAUAAACAAAACCGCUAGUCUAUGUAUGCCUUUCUGCAAAACUAAGCAGAACCUCACAUGCUCGGCAAUGGAAAAUGUUCGCGUGCAAUGUACAAAUAGUGCCGGUUUGCGAAUAACAAGCAUAAUCAAGUAUGAUGUUUUACUCGUUAAAUAAAAUGUAUCUACCUCCAUGAAGAUGAAAUAUAAAAAGAUGAAAGUGUGA